Molecule: long non-coding RNA, 955 nt
Organism: Solenopsis invicta (red fire ant)
Lineage: Eukaryota; Metazoa; Arthropoda; Insecta; Hymenoptera; Formicidae
Exons: 2
Source: RefSeq, a predicted model, not a curated record
UACGAUAACUAAUCGUAUCUCGGAUUGGAUUGAACAAUGGUACUCAACGAUCUUGCUUCUCUUCUUCCAAAGUCACUUUGAUGCACAAGGUAGCUCCGAUUUCUUUUAAAGAUAAGAUUCAUACACAUAACUGUAAUAGUUAAUUAAUUUAUUGUAAGAAAUAAAAAGGAUGAAAAGAAAUGUAAUAUACUGCAUUUUAAAAUCAGCGUAUUUAUUAGCGUAUAUAUUAACAAAUAAAUUAUUGUCCAUUAAUUACAUGAGAGUUAAUGUGUAUGAUAAAAUGAAAAUAUAUAUUUCGUAUUUAUAAAGUCGUAUAAGUGUAAUAAUACAUAUUAUAGCAAUUAGAGCACUGUGAUUCGCUACGUUCACAAGAUAGUUUUACAUAUAGCAUUGCGUAUAACAAUUUUUGUAUGUACGUUAAAAAUUUUGCAAGCAAUAGGCCAUUGCACGUCCGGAAUGUUAUCACUGGCUGUAAAGAUCCAACCAUAAGUUUGGUCUCUAGAAUAUCAUCGAUUGAACGCAGGAAAUUGUACAGGAGCAAAUUCUGGUAAGCUUAUGCAAAUCCAAAUUCUUUGGUGCAUUCGUAAGUCGCCUUGAGUAGAUUUGUUCAGAGUUUAUCAAACGUCUCGUACACUGGCAAAUCCAGUUGAUUGAAACUAAAUUAAAAAAUACAAUUUUAGUCUUGUAAUUUUAUAUCAAUUUAAUUUUAACUUAUACACACAUAUGACAAGGUAUUAAAACAAUUUCUUUUUUCAUAUAUUUACCAAAUAUGUGCAAAUGAAAGCCUGUCUGUCAACUUGUCUUUUCUGUGAAUUUGGAACUUUUGUAUGCCGUUCAUGCCUUUUAACGCAGCAAAACCUUGUAACGACACUUUAGAUGUACUAGUGAUGAAUUGUAAGAACUUCGAACAAUCCGCUUGAUUAAAACCUCGCAAUGCAGCAGAACCAUUGAAUCU